RNAcentral lists this ribosomal RNA (409 nucleotides) under bacterium enrichment culture clone ALO1_GLFRUDD03GFSLP. Its description in RNAcentral is "bacterial SSU rRNA". It matches the Rfam family "Bacterial small subunit ribosomal RNA", at positions 9 to 420 of the family's 1533-position model. The record is from RNAcentral.
GAGUUUGAUCCUGGCUCAGAUUGAACGCUGGCGGCAUGCCUUACACAUGCAAGUCGAACGGCAGCACGGGAGCUUGCUCCUGGUGGCGAGUGGCGAACGGGUGAGUAAUGCAUCGGAACGUAUCCUGGAGUGGGGGAUAACGUAGCGAAAGUUACGCUAAUACCGCAUAUUCUGUGAGCAGGAAAGCGGGGGACCUUCGGGCCUCGCGCUCUUGGAGCGGCCGAUGUCGGAUUAGCUAGUUGGUGAGGUAAAGGCUCACCAAGGCGACGAUCCGUAGCAGGUCUGAGAGGAUGAUCUGCCACACUGGAACUGAGACACGGUCCAGACUCCUACGGAGGCAGCAGUGGGAAUUUUGGACAAUGGGGGCAACCCUGAUCCAGCCAUGCCGCGUGAGUGAAGAAGGCCUCGG